This 549-nucleotide ribosomal RNA is filed under the name uncultured Glomeromycotina. RNAcentral describes it as "SSU rRNA". It matches the Rfam family "Eukaryotic small subunit ribosomal RNA", at positions 548 to 1098 of the family's 1831-position model. Lineage: Eukaryota; Fungi; Glomeromycota. The record is from RNAcentral.
UUGGAGGGCAAGUCUGGUGCCAGCAGCCGCGGUAAUUCCAGCUCCAAUAGCGUAUAUUAAAGUUGUUGCAGUUAAAAAGCUCGUAGUUGAAUUUCGGGGUCAGUAGGUCGGUCGUGCCACUGGUAUGAACUGGUUUUACUGAUUCCUCCCUCUUGAAGAACUGUAAUGCCAUUAAUUUGGCGUUGCAGGGAAUCAGGACUGUUACUUUGAAAAAAUUAGAGUGUUUAAAGCAGGCUUUAGCUUGAAUACAUUAGCAUGGAAUAAUGAAAUAGGACGUUUGAUCCUAUUUUGUUGGUUUCUAGGAUUGACGUAAUGAUUAAUAGGGAUAGUUGGGGGCAUUAGUAUUCAAUUGUCAGAGGUGAAAUUCUUGGAUUUAUUGAAGACUAACUACUGCGAAAGCAUUUGCCAAGGAUGUUUUCAUUAAUCAAGAACGAAAGUUAGGGGAUCGAAGACGAUCAGAUACCGUCGUAGUCUUAACCAUAAACUAUGCCGACUAGGGAUCGGAUGAUGUUAAUUUUUUAAUGACUCAUUCGGCGCCUUACGGGAAAC